RNAcentral lists this ribosomal RNA (425 nucleotides) under uncultured bacterium. Its description in RNAcentral is "partial 16S ribosomal RNA". It matches the Rfam family "Bacterial small subunit ribosomal RNA", at positions 354 to 796 of the family's 1533-position model. The record is from RNAcentral.
GUGGGGAAUAUUGGACAAUGGGCGCAAGCCUGAUCCAGCCAUGUCGCGUGAGUGAUGAAGGCCUUAGGGUUGUAAAGCUCUUUCAGUAGGGAAGAUAAUGACGGUACCUACAGAAGAAGCCCCGGCUAACUUCGUGCCAGCAGCCGCGGUAAUACGAAGGGGGCUAGCGUUGUUCGGAUUUACUGGGCGUAAAGCGCACGUAGGCGGAAUGUUAAGUCAGAGGUGAAAUCCUGGAGCUCGACUCCAGAACUGCCUUUGAUACUGGCAAUCUCGAGUCCGGAAGAGGUGAGUGGAACUCCUAGUGUAGAGGUGGAAUUCGUAGAUAUUAGGAAGAACACCAGUGGCGAAGGCGGCUCACUGGUCCGGUACUGACGCUGAGGUGCGAAAGCGUGGGGAGCAAACAGGAUUAGAUACCCGGGUAGUCC